RNAcentral lists this unclassified non-coding RNA (240 nucleotides) under soil metagenome. RNAcentral describes it as "partial contains 5.8S ribosomal RNA, internal transcribed spacer 2, and large subunit ribosomal RNA". The record is from RNAcentral.
AACGCACGAGACCUGCGGACCUGCGGAAGGAUCAUUAAAGAGUUGCAAGACUCCCAAACCAUUGUGAACGUUACCCACACCGUUGCUUCGGCGGGCGGCCCGGGCCCUGCCCGGCGCCCCCCGGCCCCUCGCGGGCGCCCGCCGGAGGUAAACCAAACUCUUGAAUUGUAUGGCCUCUCUGAGUCUUCUGUACUGAAUAAGUCAAAACUUUUAACAAUGGAUCUCUAGAUCGGAAGAGCA